GUGUGCGUCUGCUUUACCUGCAGUCGAACGGCAGCGCGGGCUUCGGCCUGGCGGCGAGUGGCGAACGGGUGAGUAAUAUAUCGGAACGUGCCCAAGAGUGGGGGAUAACGUAGCGAAAGUUACGCUAAUACCGCAUACGAUCUAUGGAUGAAAGCAGGGGACCGCAAGGCCUUGUGCUCCUGGAGCGGCCGAUAUCUGAUUAGCUAGUUGGUGAGGUAAAGGCUCACCAAGGCGACGAUCAGUAGCUGGUCUGAGAGGACGACCAGCCAUACUGGAACUGAGACACGAUCAAAAUUUCUACGGGAGGCAGCAGUGGGGAAUUUUGGACAAUGGGGGCAACCCUGAUCCAGCAAUGCCGCGUGAGUGAAGAAGGCCUUCGGGUUGUAAAGCUCUUUUGUCAGGGAAGAAAAGGGUACGGCUAAUAUCCGUGCCUCAUGACGGUACCUGAAGAAUAAGCACCGGCUAACUACGUGCCAGCAGCCGCGGUAAUACGUAGGGUGCAAGCGUUAAUCGGAAUUACUGGGCGUAAAGCGUGCGCAGGCGGUUUUGUAAGUCUGUCGUGAAAUCCCCGGGCUUAACCUGGGAAUGGCGAUGGAGACUGCAAGGCUGGAAUCUGGCAGAGGGGGGUAGAAUUCCACGUGUAGCGGUGAAAUGCGUAGA
This 660-nucleotide ribosomal RNA is filed under the name Duganella sp. EK-I49. RNAcentral's name for it is "bacterial SSU rRNA". It matches the Rfam family "Bacterial small subunit ribosomal RNA", at positions 42 to 694 of the family's 1533-position model. Lineage: Bacteria; Pseudomonadati; Pseudomonadota; Betaproteobacteria; Burkholderiales; Oxalobacteraceae. The record is from RNAcentral.